UCCCUCUUAGCUCAGUGGUAGAGCGCGUCACUAGUAUAAGCAGUUCCACAGAUUAUGACGAGGUCAGUCGUUCAAGUCGGCUAGAGGGAA
Hymenopellis radicata is the source of this 90-nucleotide non-coding RNA. NCBI's taxonomy places the organism in Eukaryota, Fungi, Basidiomycota, Agaricomycetes, Agaricales, Physalacriaceae. The record is from the annotation of a GenBank genome assembly.